GACGAACGCUGGCGGCGUGCUUAACACAUGCAAGUCGAACGGAAAGGCCCUGCUUUUGUGGGGUGCUCGAGUGGCGAACGGGUGAGUAACACGUGAGUAACCUGCCCUUGACUUUGGGAUAACUUCAGGAAACUGGGGCUAAUACCGGAUAGGAGCUCCUGUUGCAUGGUGGGGGUUGGAAAGUUUCGGCGGUUGGGGAUGGACUCGCGUGUGAUCAGCGUGUUGGUGGGGUAGUGGCCUACCAAGGCGUUGCCUGGUAGCUGGUCGGAGAGGGUGACCAGCCACAGUGGGACUGAGACACGGCCCAAACUCCUACGGGAGGCAGCAGUGGGGAAUAUUGGACAAUGGGCGCAAGCCUGAUCCAGCCAUGCCGCGUGAGUGAUGAAGGCCUUAGGGUUGUAAAGCUCUGUCACCGGAGAAGAUAAUGACGGUAUCCGGAGAAGAAGCCCCGGCUAACUUCGUG
Molecule: ribosomal RNA, 463 nt
Filed under: uncultured bacterium
Lineage: Bacteria
Description: partial 16S ribosomal RNA
Rfam family: Bacterial small subunit ribosomal RNA
Source: RNAcentral